AAGCGGAGGAAAAGAAACCAACAGGGAUUGCCCUAGUAACGGCGAGUGAAGCGGCAACAGCUCAAAUUUGAAAGCUGGCCUUCGGGUCCGCAUUGUAAUUUGUAGAGGAUGCUUUGGGUGAAACGCCAGUCUAAGUUCCUUGGAACAGGACGUCAUAGAGGGUGAGAAUCCCGUAUGUGACUGGAAAUGUUAACCUAUGUAAAGCUCCUUCGACGAGUCGAGUUGUUUGGGAAUGCAGCUCUAAAUGGGAGGUAAAUUUCUUCUAAAGCUAAAUAUUGGCGAGAGACCGAUAGCGCACAAGUAGAGUGAUCGAAAGAUGAAAAGCACUUUGGAAAGAGAGUUAAAAAGCACGUGAAAUUGUUGAAAGGGAAGCGCUUGCAAUCAGACUUGUUUAAACUGUUCGGCCGGUCUUCUGACCGGUUUACUCAGUUUGGACAGGCCAGCAUCAGUUUCGGCGGCCGGAUAAAGGCUCUGGGAAUGUGGCCUUCACUUCGGUGAAGGUGUUAUAGCCCAGGGUGUAAUACGGCCAGCCGGGACUGAGGUCCGCGCUCGGCUAGGAUGCUGCGAA
RNAcentral lists this ribosomal RNA (568 nucleotides) under Aureobasidium pullulans. RNAcentral describes it as "eukaryotic LSU rRNA". It matches the Rfam family "Eukaryotic large subunit ribosomal RNA", at positions 48 to 632 of the family's 3401-position model. The record is from RNAcentral. Lineage: Eukaryota; Fungi; Ascomycota; Dothideomycetes; Dothideales; Saccotheciaceae.